UACCUGACGGGAGGUUAUGACGCGCGUGUCCACGCACCGGUCACCUGGACCGCGUCGAGCCACUGGUGAGACCGACCCGCCCACGUA
Molecule: non-coding RNA, 87 nt
Submitted as: unclassified sequences
Source: Rfam